RNAcentral lists this ribosomal RNA (427 nucleotides) under uncultured bacterium. RNAcentral's name for it is "bacterial SSU rRNA". It matches the Rfam family "Bacterial small subunit ribosomal RNA", at positions 32 to 507 of the family's 1533-position model. The record is from RNAcentral.
AACGCUGGCGGCAUGCCUAACACAUGCAAGUCGAACGAGACUUCGGUCUAGUGGCGGACGGGUGAGUAACGCGUAGGAACCUGCCAAGCAGUGGGGAAUAACAGCUGGAAACGGCUGCUAAUACCGCAUACGCCCUUCGGGGGAAAGAUUUAUCGCUGUUUGAGGGUCCUGCGUUCGAUUAGCUAGUUGGUGAGGUAACGGCCCACCAAGGCGACGAUCGAUAGCUGGUCUGAGAGGAUGAUCAGCCACACUGGGACUGAGACACGGCCCAGACUCCUACGGGAGGCAGCAGUGGGGAAUAUUGGACAAUGGGGGAAACCCUGAUCCAGCAAUGCCGCGUGCGUGAAGAAGGCCUUAGGGUUGUAAAGCGCUUUCACCUGUGAUGAUGAUGACAGUAGCAGGAGAAGAAGCCCCGGCUAACUCCGUG